UUGUUAACUGUUGGAUUAUUGUGAAAUUUUGAUAUGUUGUUCGAAAUUCAAUUCCGCACGCUUCCACCGUUGGGAUUUGCGAGAUAAUAUUUGUAGAGGGAGAAAAAGGAAUCAUAUGAAGACAGUACAAGUGGAGGUUUCAAUCUCUUCUCCGUCUCUCUGACGUUUGGGAAUUCUAUCGGAGCAGUCGGAUGAAUAAUUGAAAGAAUUUCCGGGAACCGCUAGAGAUGUUGCUAUCGCUGGCUGAAGACACGUGAGCCCGCUUAGAGGUAAGGAAUGAGUUAUUCACAGUUGGG
This 296-nucleotide long non-coding RNA is filed under the name Glycine max (soybean). Its description in RNAcentral is "long non-coding RNA (GMAX_LNC002755)". The record is from RNAcentral. Lineage: Eukaryota; Viridiplantae; Streptophyta; Magnoliopsida; Fabales; Fabaceae.